UUAUUAAUCCCAAUUCCCCUAGGCCCACCACCUAAUUCCCCUUAAACCCGGCCCAAAUCCUUCCUUUCCCUUUACGAAGAGGCCCAGCAUCACAAUCCAACGAUGCUUACACAGCGUAAAAGUGAAAUCAAAUGGCAACGAUGCGUGAAUAGCCAAUGAACUCCUAUACGCGCUCCAAUCAACCUCACGCGAAGGACAGUGCACGAAAGCAUCAGCAAGGGCUCCAAGCGAUUCCCUUUUCCGUCUACACGGAAUGGCAGCCAAGGACAGCUGUUCUUCGUCGUCUUCUCUCUCUCAUCCAGUCUGAUCCAACGCGACAAAGCUACUGCUGUAGCAUACCUGCGUCUCCGUCCUUGGCAGCUCAAGAUUGAUCCACGUAGAGUCUCUAGGACGGAAGAUUGAUCGAGGGCGUCCAUUCGUCCUUUCCCCUUUCAGAAUAGUUUGAAGGCUCAGAAAAAGGGUGUCUCCCCUUAAUUGUGAAAGUUUUAAUGGUUCAAAUUUUGAAUGGACCCACUAUUUUUUGGAAUUUUCCUCAUCUUCCCACCCCAAAAAAUUCUACCUAAUUUCACCUAUAUAAACCGAUUUUCUUCUCUGUUAAUGGCCGGGGGAGGAAUUUUUAGAGAAUAAAAAACUCCCAAAGUUCGGAGUCUGUGGUGAAGUACUCCGUAAAUUGCUAACGUCCCAGUUCCACUGCCCCUCUAAAGGAUGACUUGGUGUUCGUUUGAGCCUACAUUUUUGAGGUUUCAUCAAGUUCAUGGCUGUUAUGCGCUCCAUAAUGUCCUCAAGCGCCAGGGAAGUUAUUUCGUCGCAUAAUCUUGAGCAUAUAUUAGUUUAGUUCACAUUCAUAUGACUCGUUCGUCUUCAGGUCAUUUUGUAGUAUGAUAUCAUUAUACUCGUUCAAUGUUUGGUUAUUAUAUAUUCUCGUAACUCAUCCUUUCAUCCUAGAUAGUUUAAUGUUUUGCCAUGAAUUGGAAGAGUUUGUUGUUAACUAAUGUGUCUUUGUACGACAGAUCAUUGUUCUGUUUGCUUAAGUUUGUCUCAAGCUUUCUUGAUUUGAAAUGAUCUAAUACCUAUCUAUUCAACAAGGUAUUAGUUUAGCAUGAAAUUGCUUUAGGUAGUGUCUCUGUUUGUCCCGUCUUUCAUCCUCGAGUUGAUAGUACUUGUUUGGUUUAAUUAUGGUUUUAUUUUCGGGUCUCCUAUCACGUUUAUGUACCGGUUUUUGUGUCCGCUGUUACGAGAAGCAGGCUUUUUCCUCUGUCUGCUCUCCGUUAAUCAUGUCAUUAAUAUAUGCUUGGUCUUGUGAUAGUUUUGGUCUGAGUAUAAAGGGGUUCAUAAAUGAAAAUUUUUACCCUUUUUUUUUGCUAUCUAGAAAAGGAUUUCAAAUAGCUGCAUUUGAGAUAAAUGUUCAAUAAGAAUAUCUAGUUGAUUGCUCACUGUUAUCUUAAUUAAAUAUCUUCAUUCGGAAUUCUUAUUUUUGCUCUUAAGGAAAAUGUCCAUCAUGCUUUUGAUUUUUAGAAGUUAUUGUAUGUUUGGAGUCAACUUUGCCAUAACUUCUGUGUUAUCCAUACAUACAUAUGUGCCUUAUUCAGGAACCUCUUUGCUUUGGUUUUGCAAGUGUUUGAAUAAUUCUUAGCUUAUCAUUAUAUAUUUUCUCUCGUUAAUUCGUUUAUUUUGUUCCAUGUCAUUUUUCUCUAGCUAAUGUUUUGCCUUUCUUUUAUGGCAUUGACGAGUCCCUCGGGAAUCCUCGUUUCCUCUUGCAUCCUUUAAUUGAGCUGUGAAAGUUCAAAUUUUCCCGUCGAUUCAGCCAUCUUGGCAACUUUAGGAUAUAGCUGGAUAGGUUGAAGACAACAAUAUAUUGCUGUGAAUCAAUUUUCCAGCCCCACAAAAAGCCUAAAACACGUUGAUAUACCAGCUAUAUACACUGGCAUACAGCUGGAAUAUACCAAAAACAGGUGCAAAUGUGGAAAUGCAGACCAGAAAAUACAGCAUACAAAAUUAGAUAUAAUACCGGUUUCAGAAGGUUCAAAAUAUACUGGAUACGCGUCAUAUACAGCGGUAUACAUUAAGUCUACACCAUAUUUUUAAAAAGAAAUGGGGCCGAAGCCCAUUUGAGUUCCCUGCGGAAUUUUGUGAGAAAUGGGCCAAGCCCCAAAAGAUAAAAGCAAAAAAAAUGAAGGAAAACAUGGGCCAAAGUCCAAGUUUAACUACUUUCUCUCUAUAUAUUUUUGCUAUAUUGAUUGACUUACGUUAUUGAAUUUCGGUUUUAAUUUAAUUAAUUCCCAGUGAUAGCUAUUUUUAUUUA
This is a long non-coding RNA of Solanum lycopersicum (tomato), 2302 nucleotides long. RefSeq lists it as uncharacterized. The record is from RefSeq and is a predicted model, not a curated record. NCBI's taxonomy places the organism in Eukaryota, Viridiplantae, Streptophyta, Magnoliopsida, Solanales, Solanaceae.